Molecule: transfer RNA, 73 nt
Filed under: Marmota monax (woodchuck)
Lineage: Eukaryota; Metazoa; Chordata; Mammalia; Rodentia; Sciuridae
Rfam family: tRNA
About the family: Transfer RNA (tRNA) molecules are approximately 80 nucleotides in length. Their secondary structure includes four short double-helical elements and three loops (D, anti-codon, and T loops).
Source: Rfam by way of RNAcentral
UGGGAUAUAGCUCAGUUGGUAGAGUGCUUGCCUUAUAUGCACACAGCCCUGGGUUCAAUCCCCAGCAUCACAA